Molecule: long non-coding RNA, 578 nt
Organism: Folsomia candida
Lineage: Eukaryota; Metazoa; Arthropoda; Collembola; Entomobryomorpha; Isotomidae
Exons: 3
Source: RefSeq, a predicted model, not a curated record
CGACGAGAGAAAAGUUACGACCGCUAACCUGCAGAAUAUCCUAAUUCACUCUUCCCGCGCGGGUAAAAAAGUCGUAAAAAUACAUUUGAAAGAUUGAGCUGUUCAUCAAUAAAAAAAACUCGACCAAAGUUUUUCGUUGUAAAUUCUUCAAUCCUUGCGUUACUAUGCCACGAACAGUAUUUGUCGGAUUCGGGGGAAGAAGUGGCAUCACGAAGGGGGACAUUGAAGAGUUCGUGAAAUCGAAGGGAUUUUCCUCCAGAUUCACCGUGGUCCUUCCAAGGGAGCCAACUUUUUCGGACCGAGAACCAUCCACCUUUAAAGGAUUUUGUUUCAUUCGACUUGGCCGGAAUGAAGACGUCGACUCGCUGAUUUCCGCUCUGAACGGGGAGGUCCUCAAGGGACGAAAACUUGGAACGGGGGUCAAACGAAAUGUCAAAUGCGUAUUCCGAAAGUGGAGAAGAGUCGGGCAGUGAUGUCAACAGUUAUGAUUCUGAUUAAUGAUGAUGGUUAAAGAUUAAUAAAAUGUGAGAUUCAUAAUUCAUUCAUUAAAUUCAUUAAAUUCAGUCAUUCUAUUUCAA